This 422-nucleotide ribosomal RNA is filed under the name uncultured eukaryote. RNAcentral's name for it is "bacterial SSU rRNA". It matches the Rfam family "Eukaryotic small subunit ribosomal RNA", at positions 592 to 1018 of the family's 1831-position model. The record is from RNAcentral.
CAAUAGCGUAUAUUAAAGUUGUUGCAGUUAAAAAGCUCGUAGUUGGAUUUCUGGCCCGGCAUUGGGUGGUCUCGCCGCAAGGUGGUGCACUGCCCGGUCGGGCUUUCUUCCCGAGUGUGCGUUCUGUUCUUAACUGAGUGGGGCGUGUGUUCGGGACCUUUACUUUGAAAAAUUAGAGUGUUCAAAGCAGGCGAAUGCUUGAAUACAUUAGCAUGGAAUAAUGGAAUAGGACUUUGGUUCUAUUUUGUUGGUUUCUAGGACUGAAGUAAUGAUUAAUAGGGAUAGUUGGGGGCAUUAGUAUUUAAUUGUCAGAGGUGAAAUUCUUGGAUUUAUGAAAGACUAACUUCUGCGAAAGCAUUUGCCAAGGAUGUUUUCAUUAAUCAAGAACGAAAGUUAGGGGAUCGAAGACGAUCAGAUACCAU